GCUACUUGAGCUGAAUCCCUUCCUAACAUUAAAAAAUCAUCUGUAUGUAUCAGUACUUCUAUUUUCUUCCCUAGUCUUUCCUACAGAUACUCUUGGAGACAUCAGCCUUGCCUAGGUUUAUAAAAAGCAACACAAACAGCUGAUUGGUUCCAUGGAAUAGUUGAAUGACUGAUGGGGGUACAGACCACUCCAAAAGUUAUCAGAACCAUACUGUUGUUUUAAGGAAUUCACAAAAUGCAACCCUUGGACAACCUGUGGUAUUUCUGGAAACACUGGAAGAGUGCCAUGGUGUCUGCUGCCUCUGCUCCACACUGCUUGGGAAUCUGGAAGCAUAUCAAUUUUCCUGGACAUCAGGGAGACCCACUGCUAGAGAAACUUUCCAGUAGACCAUUGAGCAAGGAUUCAUAACUAUGAGAUAAACAUGUCAUACAAUGUGAAGUGGGACUCCUCAAGUUUAAUUAAACCUGCA
Molecule: long non-coding RNA, 469 nt
Filed under: Anser brachyrhynchus (Pink-footed goose)
Lineage: Eukaryota; Metazoa; Chordata; Aves; Anseriformes; Anatidae
Description: lncRNA (ENSABRG00000015859.1)
Source: RNAcentral